UACAGAGGUCUCAAGCGUUGUUCGGAUUCAUUGGGCGUAAAGGGUGCGUAGGCGGCGCGGUAAGUCGGGUGUGAAAUCUCGGAGCUUAACUCCGAAACUGCAUUCGAUACUGCCGUGCUUGAGGACUGGAGAGGAGACUGGAAUUUACGGUGUAGCGGUGAAAUGCGUAGAUAUCGUAAGGAAGACCAGUGGCGAAGGCAGCUUGCUGGGCCAUUACUGACGCUCAGGCACGAAAGCGUGGGGAGCGAACAGG
This 253-nucleotide ribosomal RNA is filed under the name uncultured bacterium. Its description in RNAcentral is "partial 16S ribosomal RNA". It matches the Rfam family "Bacterial small subunit ribosomal RNA", at positions 524 to 776 of the family's 1533-position model. The record is from RNAcentral.